Long non-coding RNA from Passer domesticus (house sparrow), 1807 nucleotides. RefSeq lists it as uncharacterized. The transcript is spliced from 3 exons. The record is from RefSeq and is a predicted model, not a curated record. Lineage: Eukaryota; Metazoa; Chordata; Aves; Passeriformes; Passeridae.
CCGGACUGCAUGUCACUGUUCUCGCCUGCUUCAGGAAUUCACCUUGCAUGGCCGGGGCACUCAGAAAGUGAGAGCAAUACAGUACGGGCAAUGUUAAUAACAAUAUGCUUCAUAUAUUCAUGCAUGCCUAGGUUUGGCAUCACCAUCUUGAUUCUUGAAAUCACAAAAAAAUAUACAUACAGAGGGGCCUGCUGGCUACCUUGGUGUCAUAUUGGCUUUGUAAAACUCUAAGCCAGGCUGCCUGCAAGGAUUACACGGAUGGACAGAGACAGAUCUUGGGAAUGCUUCAAACAGCAGGAUCCCAGGACCCACCUGCCAAACUGAGAAGAAAGAAAAUUCUCUUCUACCUCAGAACCUGGACUUCCUGUUUACUGAAAAGUUGAGAUGCCACUACUUUAUCUUUCCUUCAGAUCUUAUGAUGAGGAUGAAUGCAUGUGUGUGUCCCUUACCGCUGGCAGCAUCCUGAAAACAGAGGUUUCUAUUGGGCUCUCCCACGAAAUUCCUGCCUGCCAGUACCUCCAAGGCUCCUUGCUGUUUCCUCUGCAGCUGCCCAGUUUUCCCCAGAAGCAGAUGUAGGACAGGACAAAUGCAGUGCUUGACAUUUGCACAUUAUCUACUGUUUCUCAAGGAGACCAGUGAAGCUAAGCAGGCUGUACAUUGCCUUGCAUGAUUGUACAGCAAAACUGUCACAGCAGCAAUGAAAAUGAAGUCAAUGGCCAACAGCACAUCAACUCACCCUUGGAAUAUUAGAUUUUAUAGUGCAAAGAAUAUGAACAUUUUAGAUAAAUAAGAUAAAUUCCUGAAAAUAAGAGUUUUCAGGGGAGAAUUUGCCAUCACAUACAAACAUCUGAGUGAAUUUUCACAAUUUAUUAAAACUUUAGAAGGGAAGUAUGCCAUAGCCUAAGUAGGACUGCACCGAACAGUUAUCAUGUGUGUUUAAAAAAGAUUAUAAACUGUUUGGACUAAAAAUAUUGUUGAGAAAGAUAAGUAGGGGCAAUUACAGAUUUUAUCAGAAUGAUAAUGUUUUUCUCACUUGAAUGCUUCAAAGUAUAACCUUUCAGCCAUGCAGAUUUUUUUAAUAAUUACAAUAAUUAAAGAUCCUGCACAGAUGCAACACAAGCCUGCUCCUCAAUUUCAAAUCAGAGUUUUUCAGUAAAGUACUAAGCAUUCUGAAUUCAUUUACAUCAGUAUAAAUUUGCAGCACCACCAGAAAGUGAGCAGAAUGACACCGGUUCAUACUAGAAUAACUUCAAAUCAAGCCUGGUUCUUCUUAGCAUCACUGGUUCACUGAUGACUGCCUCUAUCCUACAAACAGUACCUGAAUCUCACUUCAACAUCAUUCUUCCUGGGUUUCUACUAUAAUUCUUACUCUUCUGUGUAAAUUGAGAUGAUAAUAAGAUGGAAAACAAGCAAGGAGCAAGAAUACAGGUGGUAUUUCCCUACUGUUCUCCUGAACAAUAGAACAAGUCCACAACACCUGCACAGAUCACACUGGUACCCAAAUUCUUCAGUGUGUGGUGCUAAUGUUCACAGAGUGUGGAUUGAGAUCAAUGGUUCCAAAAUUUUAAUAUUCAGUCAGCCACUGUCCAUUCCUGGAAUUUCUUAAGUAGACAUUUUUCAAUAAAGGUCCGUCUACUCUCAUCAUGAAGGUUUCAGCUGAAAGCCUUGUGAAGGUAAUGUAAUGUAAGGCCUAGAUUUUGUUAGCCACUUUUACAGUCUCAUUUUCUCUCCUUUCCAAUGAGUAUGUAUUUGUCUUGGAAAAUUUACCUGUGUUUUUAUGAUAUAAUAAAAAUAAUAUUUAAAACUG